UACGUAGGGACCAAGCGUUGUUCGGAUUUACUGGGCGUAAAGGGCGCGUAGGCGGCCCCACAAGCCACUUGUGAAAUCUCCGGGCUUAACUCGGAACGGCCAAGUGAAACUGUGGAGCUAGAGUGUGGAAGGGGCAAUCGGAAUUCUUGGUGUAGCGGUGAAAUGCGUAGAUAUCAAGAGGAACACCUGAGGUGAAGACGGGUUGCUGGGCCAACACUGACGCUGAGGCGCGAAAGCCAGGGGAGCAAACGGG
This 253-nucleotide ribosomal RNA is filed under the name uncultured bacterium. RNAcentral's name for it is "partial 16S ribosomal RNA". It matches the Rfam family "Bacterial small subunit ribosomal RNA", at positions 524 to 776 of the family's 1533-position model. The record is from RNAcentral.